AACGGUCUAUACCUGCGGUACCUGCGGAAGGAUCAUUACCGAGUUUACAAAACUCCCAAACCCUUUGUGAACCUUACCUAUCGUUGCUUCGGCGGGAACGCCCCGGCGCCCUCGCGGCCCGGAACCAGGCGCCCGCCGGAGGCCCCAAACCCUCAUGUCUUUAGUGGUUUCCUCCUCUGAGUGACAUAAACAAAUAAAGUAAAAACUUUCAACAACGGAUCUCUAGAUCGGAAGAGCACA
Molecule: unclassified non-coding RNA, 240 nt
Filed under: soil metagenome
Description: partial contains 5.8S ribosomal RNA, internal transcribed spacer 2, and large subunit ribosomal RNA
Source: RNAcentral